Drosophila teissieri is the source of this 836-nucleotide long non-coding RNA. RefSeq lists it as uncharacterized. Lineage: Eukaryota; Metazoa; Arthropoda; Insecta; Diptera; Drosophilidae. The record is from RefSeq and is a predicted model, not a curated record. The transcript has 3 exons.
AUAUGUCGAGUUAUUGUGUUAACUGUUGUGUUACUGUGCUAUGCUGGUUUAUAUUUUACUGCUUUUAUACCAAAUGAGAGACAUUUGGUUUGCCGUACGUGAUCCUAAUAAAAGAAAAAAGUUUAAGAAAAUCAUGGCAGCUUCGCUAGAUACGUCCCAAGACCUCCGUCGCAUCUUGUUUUGGAAGAUACUUAACGGUGAAUAAUGCUCGCCUUAUCGUUUCAUUAAUCUUUAAAAAGUUUUAAAAUCAAAUUUUUACUUGUAUUCAACCCAAUACAUUUUCAAACACUUUUCGGUAAAACGGAUAAUGUGUGCAGUUGAAAAUGAAACAAACCUUUGUGUAUGAUGUGCGAAGUGAGCUUAAGUGUAGAUCAGGAAGAACAAAUGCAAUACGGAAACCAUAUAUACAUAUGUUGUAGGAGUCCCGCUUUUUCCCGUCUUAGGUUUAUAACCGAAAAAUCCGCCGGAUGUCAUUCAUGAACAUAUGAAUAAUCAUGGAGUUAUACCACACAUAUUGUCACAGGACUGAAUAAAUCUGUGCCAGGUCGCGCCCGCGCAUACGAAGUGCCGACGUAUUAAAUGUAUAUUUUAAAUGUAUCAAAUGUAUAUUUUAAAAUAACUAGUUCUAAAAGCAGUGAAAAUUUCCAAAACCCAAAGCUUUGCCAUAAUUGGCUUCGUUAAUUUUUCCUACCCUGUGUCCCAACGUCAGCAUUGUUAUUUCCGUAACUCCGCUUUUUUAUUUAAAACUACACUCCACACACAAAAAGACAAAUGCAAAUCAACCCACACAUACUCGAUGGCCAGUCCAAUGAAAUAAAAAAUUUAUUUUUAAAAUA